GUGAGUUAUUUAUAUAUAAAAUUGAAUAUAGUUAAUUAAAUACAGAAGCCAGAAGAUCUAGGUAAAAUGUAUAAAAUUGUUAUUAGCCGACUAAUUACAGUCGCGUAAACCGAGGUCGUCAAACGCAUGGAUAUUGUUUGACAAUCAAGGGAAGUUAAAAUUACGACUACCGCGUGGACGAUGCUUUUAUACAUGAAUUUAGAGACAAUGACAAACCAAAUAGAUCUCACCGACAUUUAUUAUUUAUUUUAGUCUAUUUAUUGUAGUUAUUUAUUAUUAUAGUUAUUAUUUGUCAAGCAUAAUACUGAAUUGUAAAAAGUAAAUGUCUUUAUUUGGCUCCAAUUGUAAUACUUGUCUAGUUGGCGAACAUUCGAGUUAAAUAAUG
Cinara cedri is the source of this 385-nucleotide non-coding RNA. The record is from the annotation of a GenBank genome assembly. NCBI's taxonomy places the organism in Eukaryota, Metazoa, Arthropoda, Insecta, Hemiptera, Aphididae.